GACGAACGCUGGCGGCGUGCUUAACACAUGCAAGUCGAACGGAAAGGCCCUGCUUUUGUGGGGUGCUCGAGUGGCGAACGGGUGAGUAACACGUGAGUAACCUGCCCUUGACUUUGGGAUAACUUCAGGAAACUGGGGCUAAUACCGGAUAGGAGCUCCUGCUGCAUGGUGGGGGUUGGAAAGUUUCGGCGGUUGGGGAUGGACUCGCGGCUUAUCAGCUUGUUGGUGGGGUAGUGGCUUACCAAGGCUUUGACGGGUAGCCGGCCUGAGAGGGUGACCGGGCACAUUGGGACCGAGAAACCGCCCAGAACCCUUAGGGAGGCAGGAGUGGGGGAUAUUGCACAAAGGGCGGAAGCCUGAAGCAGCAACGCCGCGUGGGGGAAUAAGGCCUUCGGGGUUGAAACCGCUUUCGCCUGGGACGAAGGGUGAGUGACGGUAAUGGGUAAAGAAGCAACGGCUUACUACGUG
RNAcentral lists this ribosomal RNA (468 nucleotides) under uncultured bacterium. RNAcentral describes it as "partial 16S ribosomal RNA". It matches the Rfam family "Bacterial small subunit ribosomal RNA", at positions 28 to 507 of the family's 1533-position model. The record is from RNAcentral.